This 326-nucleotide ribosomal RNA is filed under the name uncultured eukaryote. Its description in RNAcentral is "partial 18S ribosomal RNA". It matches the Rfam family "Eukaryotic small subunit ribosomal RNA", at positions 1470 to 1796 of the family's 1831-position model. The record is from RNAcentral.
CCCUUAGAUGUUCUGGGCCGCACGCGCGCUACACUGAUGCAUUCAACGAGCUUAGCCUUGACCGAGAGGUCCGGGUAAUCUUUGAAACUGCAUCGUGAUGGGGCUAGAUUAUUGCAAUUAUUAAUCUUCAACGAGGAAUGCCUAGUAAGCGUGAUUCAUCAAAUCGCGUUGAUUACGUCCCUGCCCUUUGUACACACCGCCCGUCGCUCCUACCGAUUGAGUGUGUUGGUGAGGAGUUCGGAUUGGCUCUUAGUGGUGGUUCGCCACCACCUAGAGCUGAGAAGUUCUCCAAACCGCCCCACUUAGAGGAAGGAGAAGUCGUAACA